Long non-coding RNA from Herpailurus yagouaroundi (jaguarundi), 696 nucleotides. RefSeq lists it as uncharacterized. The transcript has 3 exons. The record is from RefSeq and is a predicted model, not a curated record. NCBI's taxonomy places the organism in Eukaryota, Metazoa, Chordata, Mammalia, Carnivora, Felidae.
GUGGCCGUGACUUAGUGGAACGUGGGAGGGACCGUGCGCUCUCCCGGAUUCCACCUCACUCCUGCCCCUGCGCCCCGCACACGUGCGCGGAUGCACACGCGCAACACACACAUGGCGUCUUCACCCUUGGGCCUCCAGCCGGCGCCUCCUAUGCCUCUGUCUCCAAGACCGCUCAGGGAAGCGACUAAUUAACGGGUCACACUGAGGUGUGAAUGUAUGAGAAGUUACGCUUCUAUCUGUGCCAGAAAUAAUUGCUUUUAAAGAACUUUCAACCACCUUGAGUGAAAGGAAACCGUCGUGGCGUGAGAUCAGGCAAGGACCACAUCUUGUCCUUUUGUUUGCUGGCUUUACCCUGGGCCCGAGACUAAAGUAACCGUCUAGAAUCUCACCAGGUAAAGAAUCUGAGGCUCAGAGGAGUUUUCCACACCCUUCCUAGCGGCAGAACCAGGAUCAGGUUGCCUAGAAAAAUAAUGAAUUUUCCAUCCUCAAGAAGUCUCUACCCAGAUGUUCCUGAUUAGAAGUUGUUUAUGUAGCCUCUUGGAAGAUGGCGAUCGAGCUGUCCAGUGCACCUCAUAUCAGGCAGUGGCUCCUUUGCGAGUGAACCUUCAUAUUGACCCCCUCCCCAACUGCACCACCAUUUCCCGCCUCUUUUCUUCUCCCUGGCACUACCUUUCUAAAUAAAGUCCUUGGACAUAA